GUAGGGUAUUCAGAAUUGCUAAGCAAUACCAACCGAGUUCGUAACCACGGUGGUAAAACAAUACGGGAUGUUGUCAAAAAUUGUCGCAGCU
This 91-nucleotide non-coding RNA is filed under the name Sphingobacterium spiritivorum. RNAcentral's name for it is "Sphingobacterium sp. SAM-I-IV sequence". It matches the Rfam family "SAM-I/IV (S-adenosyl methionine) riboswitch aptamer". Rfam says of the family: It is found upstream of a number of genes which code for proteins involved in methionine or cysteine biosynthesis. It has been found mostly in the order Actinomycetales. The record is from RNAcentral. RNAcentral also lists the same sequence under 1 other name. Lineage: Bacteria; Pseudomonadati; Bacteroidota; Sphingobacteriia; Sphingobacteriales; Sphingobacteriaceae.